This 985-nucleotide ribosomal RNA is filed under the name uncultured Mycobacterium sp. RNAcentral describes it as "bacterial SSU rRNA". It matches the Rfam family "Bacterial small subunit ribosomal RNA", at positions 19 to 1016 of the family's 1533-position model. The record is from RNAcentral. Lineage: Bacteria; Bacillati; Actinomycetota; Actinomycetes; Mycobacteriales; Mycobacteriaceae.
UCUGCUCAGGACGAACGCUGGCGGCGUGCUUAACACAUGCAAGUCGAACGGAAAGGCCCCUUCGGGGGUACUCGAGUGGCGAACGGGUGAGUAACACGUGGGUAAUCUGCCCUGCACUUCGGGAUAAGCCUGGGAAACUGGGUCUAAUACCGGAUAUGACCACGAGGCGCAUGCCUUGUGGUGGAAAGCUUUUGCGGUGUGGGAUGGGCCCGCGGCCUAUCAGCUUGUUGGUGGGGUGACGGCCUACCAAGGCGACGACGGGUAGCCGGCCUGAGAGGGUGUCCGGCCACACUGGGACUGAGAUACGGCCCAGACUCCUACGGGAGGCAGCAGUGGGGAAUAUUGCACAAUGGGCGCAAGCCUGAUGCAGCGACGCCGCGUGGGGGAUGACGGCCUUCGGGUUGUAAACCUCUUUCAGCAGGGACGAAGCGCAAGUGACGGUACCUGCAGAAGAAGCACCGGCCAACUACGUGCCAGCAGCCGCGGUAAUACGUAGGGUGCGAGCGUUGUCCGGAAUUACUGGGCGUAAAGAGCUCGUAGGUGGUUUGUCGCGUUGUUCGUGAAAACCGGGGGCUUAACCCUCGGCGUGCGGGCGAUACGGGCAGACUGGAGUACUGCAGGGGAGACUGGAAUUCCUGGUGUAGCGGUGGAAUGCGCAGAUAUCAGGAGGAACACCGGUGGCGAAGGCGGGUCUCUGGGCAGUAACUGACGCUGAGGAGCGAAAGCGUGGGGAGCGAACAGGAUUAGAUACCCUGGUAGUCCACGCCGUAAACGGUGGGUACUAGGUGUGGGUUUCCUUCCUUGGAAUCCGUGCCGUAGCUAACGCAUUAAGUACCCCGCCUGGGGAGUACGGCCGCAAGGCUAAAACUCAAAGGAAUUGACGGGGGCCCGCACAAGCGGCGGAGCAUGUGGAUUAAUUCGAUGCAACGCGAAGAACCUUACCUGGGUUUGACAUGCACAGGACGCCGGCAGAGAUGUCGGUUCC